This 270-nucleotide long non-coding RNA is filed under the name Musa acuminata (dwarf banana). RNAcentral describes it as "long non-coding RNA (MACU_LNC010868)". The record is from RNAcentral. Lineage: Eukaryota; Viridiplantae; Streptophyta; Magnoliopsida; Zingiberales; Musaceae.
UCAACCACGUCCACAAUCCUCUUUUUUUCAACUUUACCUGUCACACGUCUAGAUUAAACAAAGUUAAGGUUUACGUUAAAAGAAAAAAAAAAUUAAUACUAAUAUGGGCUGAACUAAUGGGCUAUGUGCCCAACAGAUAAGAAUCUCUAAUGGAAUUAUAUCUGUUGUUAGAUUUGAAGAAAAAAAACUCAUGCAACUUCAGAAUUAGAUCACUCAUCGUCGGAUGAUUCUGAGCAAUUCAGUAGUCAGAUCUCAGGAAGUCUUAUCCGG